This 253-nucleotide ribosomal RNA is filed under the name uncultured bacterium. RNAcentral's name for it is "partial 16S ribosomal RNA". It matches the Rfam family "Bacterial small subunit ribosomal RNA", at positions 524 to 776 of the family's 1533-position model. The record is from RNAcentral.
UACGGAGGGGGCUAGCGUUGUUCGGAAUUACUGGGCGUAAAGCGCACGUAGGCGGCUUUGCAAGUUAGAGGUGAAAGCCCGGAGCUCAACUCCGGAAUUGCCUUUAAAACUGCAUCGCUAGAAUUGUGGAGAGGUGAGUGGAAUUCCGAGUGUAGAGGUGAAAUUCGUAGAUAUUCGGAAGAACACCAGUGGCGAAGGCGGCUUCCUGGACCGACACUGACGCUGAGGCGCGAAAGCUAGGGGAGCAAACGGG